AUUGAACGCUGGCGGCAGGCCUAACACAUGCAAGUCGAACGGUAGCACAGAGAGCUCGCUCUCGGGUGACGAGUGGCGGACGGGUGAGUAACGUCUGGGAAACUGCCCGAUGGAGGGGGAUAACUACUGGAAACGGUAGCUAAUACCGCAUAACGUCGCAAGACCAAAGUGGGGGACCUUCGGGCCUCGCACCAUCGGAUGUGCCCAGAUGGGAUUAGCUAGUAGGUGGGGUAAAGGCUCACCUAGGCGACGAUCCCUAGCUGGUCUGAGAGGAUGACCAGCCACACUGGAACUGAGACACGGUCCAGACUCCUACGGGAGGCAGCAGUGGGGAAUAUUGCACAAUGGGCGCAAGCCUGAUGCAGCCAUGCCGCGUGUAUGAAGAAGGCCUUCGGGUUGUAAAGUACUUUCAGCGGGGAGGAAGGCGGUGAAGUUAAUAGCUUCACCGAUUGACGUUACCCGCAGAAGAAGCACCGGCUAACUCCGUGCCAGCAGCCGCGGUAA
This 504-nucleotide ribosomal RNA is filed under the name uncultured bacterium. RNAcentral describes it as "partial 16S ribosomal RNA". It matches the Rfam family "Bacterial small subunit ribosomal RNA", at positions 29 to 523 of the family's 1533-position model. The record is from RNAcentral.